AUGCCUUCCAAGGUCACCCGAGCGCCUCAACCUGCUCUAUGUUAUGGAUCUGUACCCGCCGGCCACCACCAUCCAUGGCUCCUCUGCUAUUGGGACACCACAUCGUCCCAUCUCCUUUCUGGACAUCACCCUGCAACACCAACGCUUGGCCUGCUCCUCCACCACGGCCCUGCUCGGGACACGCCACCAUCGACGCCACCGUUGAGAAUCCACCCCAACUCGAGCAGUUCACCGGCGCCAUGGAGAAACACUAAGCUGCUACAUUGGAAAUACGAGGAACUUCAUCAGUGCAAGAAGUUGAUAUUCACUCAACGUUCAUCCAGAUCAGGAGUAGGAUUUAUGGUUCAUGAUCCAACUAAAAGAGAGGUGUAA
This 372-nucleotide ribosomal RNA is filed under the name Triticum aestivum (bread wheat). RNAcentral's name for it is "partial small subunit ribosomal RNA". Lineage: Eukaryota; Viridiplantae; Streptophyta; Magnoliopsida; Poales; Poaceae. The record is from RNAcentral.